RNAcentral lists this ribosomal RNA (549 nucleotides) under Iselma elephantula. RNAcentral describes it as "partial 16S ribosomal RNA". It matches the Rfam family "Bacterial large subunit ribosomal RNA", at positions 1797 to 2619 of the family's 2925-position model. The record is from RNAcentral. Lineage: Eukaryota; Metazoa; Arthropoda; Insecta; Coleoptera; Meloidae.
CGCCUGUUUAUCAAAAACAUGUCUUUUUGUUAAUUAUUUAAGGUCUGGCCUGCUCAAUGAGUUGUUAAAUAGCCGCAGUAUUUUGACUGUGCAAAGGUAGCAUAAUCAUUAGUUUUUUUAUUGAAAGCUGGAAUGAAUGGUUGGAUGAAGAGGUAGCUGUCUCAUUUUGAUUUUGUUGAAUUUUAUUUUUGAGUUAAAAAGCUUAGAUUUUAUAAAAAGACGAGAAGACCCUAUAGAGUUUGAUAAGUUUUUUUCUUAGUUUUUUUAGGUUUUAAUUUUUAAUUAGGUUUUAGUUUAUUUUGUUGGGGUGAUUUGAAAAUUAAUUUAACUUUUCAUUAUUUUUACAUUGAUUUGUGGUUCAUUGAUCCUGAAGUUUUGGAUUAAAAGUAUAAAUUACCUUAGGGAUAACAGCGUGAUUUUUUUAGAGAGUUCUAAUCGAUAAAGGAGAUUGCGACCUCGAUGUUGGAUUAAAGUUAAUUUUUGACGUAGAAGUUAAGAUUUUAAGUCUGUUCGACUUUUAAAACUUUACGUGAUCUGAGUUUACACCGG